CUGAUAACUUGAGAAUUGUUGACCAUAGUAAUAUAGGAGGAGGAGGGUCACAUAAGCAAACCUUUUCAUCUUGUAUAUACAGGUUAUAGUUCUAACUUUCUGUUCUUGGAGUAACUUCAUUAUACAAUCUUGACCCAUCACCACCAUAAAGCUUGAGGUUGAUAUUUCGUGGAUGAAUUUAUGGUGUGUUUUGAUGAUAUAAAUGGUGAACACAAAAACAUCCGUGUCAACAACACCAGCAAGCGAUGAAGACCCAGAUACUUCCAGCGUGACUGCUUCAAAUGAUUCUAAUUCGGGUAGUACCUUUACUGCAGAUACGUCAUCAACGUAUACAACACUAACGGAUAUAAAUACUACCAUAUAUGGAAAUGUGACUGAUAUACCCGAAGAUACAAGGAUGUCACCCGAUGUUAUUAUAGGUGUCAUUGUUAGUCUUAUAAUUAUUGGUGUCUUCGCUUUCAUUAUUCUCUACUAUAAUUAUAGAAAAGGUCGACUUCAGAAAUUGCUGUUUUGCUUAAAACCAACAUCACGCAC
This is a long non-coding RNA of Patella vulgata (common limpet), 534 nucleotides long. RefSeq lists it as uncharacterized. The record is from RefSeq and is a predicted model, not a curated record. The transcript has 4 exons. NCBI's taxonomy places the organism in Eukaryota, Metazoa, Mollusca, Gastropoda, Patellidae.